GCUGGGCAUGGUGGCCCAUGCCUGUAGUUCCAGCUACUUCAGAGGCUCAGGAAGGAGGAUCCCUUGAUUCCAGGAAUCUGAGGUCAGCCUGGGCAAUAGGGUAAGAUUCCCAACCUUU
RNAcentral lists this small RNA (118 nucleotides) under Marmota monax (woodchuck). Lineage: Eukaryota; Metazoa; Chordata; Mammalia; Rodentia; Sciuridae. The record is from RNAcentral.